UGUAGUCAAUGAUGAUUUUUCCCAAAUUACUGAUUGACAGUGAUUAAUAUAAAAGAUCACCAUCUUUCGGCUGAGGUUGCA
This 81-nucleotide small nucleolar RNA is filed under the name Solanum tuberosum (potato). Lineage: Eukaryota; Viridiplantae; Streptophyta; Magnoliopsida; Solanales; Solanaceae. The record is from RNAcentral.